This is a long non-coding RNA of Carassius auratus (goldfish), 458 nucleotides long. RefSeq lists it as uncharacterized. NCBI's taxonomy places the organism in Eukaryota, Metazoa, Chordata, Actinopteri, Cypriniformes, Cyprinidae. The transcript is spliced from 4 exons. The record is from RefSeq and is a predicted model, not a curated record.
UGUCUGUGAAGGAAAUCAAUUCAUGGGUUAUAACUUUGAAUAUUAAAUACUGAUAUUAAAUUCUAAGAGUAGAUUUUAAACACUUUAUGGUUAGUUUUUGACUCUUAAACUCCUCCUUGUCAGGUGACUCAUGAAAGUGAAACUAUUACAGCGGGUCUGUUUUAUCGUAUGAGGAAGUGAACUACAUUAAGAGAGAAAAACACAAUGAAACCAUGGCCUCCAGAAUGAAUCUCUCUGAAGAACAUGACACACAGAUAAAGACAGUCAAGAGUCAGAUUCAGGGGCGUGAAUCAGAUUUAUCUAAACACAUGGAUGUGUCUGUGAGGAAAAAACGACGGAUGGAUGUUUCAGAUCUCUGCAGAGAGGAAGACUCUUCUGUUGAGUCCAGUCUGUGUCAGAAUGAAUCUCCUGAACCCAGCUGUGUGUCCAUCAAGAGUGACCAGUCAAUGGAUCCUCCU